Molecule: ribosomal RNA, 478 nt
Filed under: uncultured organism
Description: partial 16S ribosomal RNA
Rfam family: Bacterial small subunit ribosomal RNA
Source: RNAcentral
GUACACUCCUACGGGAGGCAGCAGUGGGGAAUAUUGCACAAUGGGCGCAAGCCUGAUGCAGCCAUGCCGCGUGUAUGAAGAAGGCCUUCGGGUUGUAAAGUACUUUCAGCGGGGAGGAAGGCGAUAAGGUUAAUAACCUUAUUGAUUGACGUUACCCGCAGAAGAAGCACCGGCUAACUCCGUGCCAGCAGCCGCGGUAAUACGGAGGGUGCAAGCGUUAAUCGGAAUUACUGGGCGUAAAGCGCACGCAGGCGGUCUGUCAAGUCGGAUGUGAAAUCCCCGGGCUCAACCUGGGAACUGCAUUCGAAACUGGCAGGCUAGAGUCUUGUAGAGGGGGGUAGAAUUCCAGGUGUAGCGGUGAAAUGCGUAGAGAUCUGGAGGAAUACCGGUGGCGAAGGCGGCCCCCUGGACAAAGACUGACGCUCAGGUGCGAAAGCGUGGGGAGCAAACAGGAUUAGAAACCCCGGUAGUCCCAUGA